AGAAGAGUACCCACGUCGUCUGUGGUUUGGGUCCUCGGGCUGUGGGGAUACCAAACACCAUCAUGCAUGCCCAACUCUCUUUUUCAUUUUUUUAUCUCUUUCUUUUUUGGUUUUUUAUUUUAUACCAUUUUAGGGUUUUCUCUUUUCUUAUAUAUUCAUCUCGCCCUACACAAACCAUCGAUCGAAUAUAUAAAAACCCACAUUUUAUUCCUUACAUAUAAUAUAUAAAAAAGAAUUCAUGCUUUACCAAAUUCUACUCUUACUUUUAUUUCUCUUGCAUCAUUUCUUUAUUAUUAGCCUUUCAU
Molecule: long non-coding RNA, 305 nt
Filed under: Capsella rubella
Lineage: Eukaryota; Viridiplantae; Streptophyta; Magnoliopsida; Brassicales; Brassicaceae
Description: long non-coding RNA (CRUB_LNC004792)
Source: RNAcentral